RNAcentral lists this ribosomal RNA (426 nucleotides) under uncultured bacterium. RNAcentral's name for it is "partial 16S ribosomal RNA". It matches the Rfam family "Bacterial small subunit ribosomal RNA", at positions 354 to 796 of the family's 1533-position model. The record is from RNAcentral.
GUGAGGAAUUUUCCGCAAUGGGCGAAAGCCUGACGGAGCAAUGCCGCGUGAAGGAUGAAGGCCUAUGGGUUGUAAACUUCUUUUCUCAGAAAAGAAUUAUGACGGUAUCUGAGGAAUAAGCAUCGGCUAACUCUGUGCCAGCAGCCGCGGUAAGACCGAGGAUGCAAGCGUUAUCCGGAAUGAUUGGGCGUAAAGCGUCUGUAGGUUGUUUAAAAAGUAUUCUGUCAAAGAUUAGGGCUUAACCCUAGAUAGGCAGAAUAAACUUUUAAGCUAGAGUUUGGUAGAGGCAGAGGGAAUACCCGGUGGAGCGGUGAAAUGCGUAGAUAUCGGGAGGAACACCAAAGGCGAAGGCACUCUGCUGGGCCAAUACUAACACUGAGAGACGAAAGCGAGGGGAGCAAAUGGGAUUAGAUACCCUAGUAGUCC